This 566-nucleotide ribosomal RNA is filed under the name Pichia membranifaciens. RNAcentral's name for it is "partial large subunit ribosomal RNA". It matches the Rfam family "Eukaryotic large subunit ribosomal RNA", at positions 66 to 656 of the family's 3401-position model. The record is from RNAcentral. Lineage: Eukaryota; Fungi; Ascomycota; Pichiomycetes; Pichiales; Pichiaceae.
CCACUGCAUGCCCAGUAGCGGCGAGUGAGCGGCAAGAGCUCAGAUUUGAAAUCGUGCUAAUUUUUUUGCCACGAUUUGUAUAGUGUAGGCGGGAGUCUUUGUGGAGCCCGGUGUCCAAGUCCCUUGGAACAGGGCGCCUGAAAGGGUGAAAGCCCCGGGGGGUGCCGGGCGAAGCUUUGAGGCCCUGCUGACGAGUCAAGUUGUUUGGGAAUGCAGCUCCAAUUGGGUGGUAAAUUCCAUCUAAGGCUAAAUACUGGCAAGAGACCAAUAGCGAACAAGUACUGUGAAGGAAAAAUGAAAAGCACUUUGAAAAAAAAGUGAAACAGCACGUGAAAUUGUUGAAAGGAAAGGGUAUUGGGCCCAACAUGGGGAGUGCGCACCGCUGUCUCUUGUAGGGGGCGCUCUGGGCCCUCUCGGGGCCACCAUCGGUUCUUGCUGCGGGAGAAUGGGGGCCGAAAAGUGGCUCUUCGAAGUGUUAUACCCGGCGCCAAAUACCGCGUGCGGGGACCGAGGACUGCGGCUUCUGUCUCGGAUGCUGGCCCAACGGCGCAAUACCACCCGUCUUG